Ziziphus jujuba (common jujube) is the source of this 2003-nucleotide RNA transcript. RefSeq lists it as uncharacterized. The transcript has 3 exons. The record is from RefSeq and is a predicted model, not a curated record. Lineage: Eukaryota; Viridiplantae; Streptophyta; Magnoliopsida; Rosales; Rhamnaceae.
AAAACAAAGGGUAAAACCCACACGUCAAAAGUCAAAACCCUAAUGACUAAUUUUUUUGGGAGAAAAUUCCAAGUCCCAAAAACAUGUUUCUGUGAACAACAAACCACCCCCGGCCAAUAUUCCUCUUGAUCUUCCCGAGGAGGCCCUUUUCCGAGCUCAAUGAAGCCCGAUCAACAACAGGACGACGAAACGCAAAACCCAGAAAUCCCCAACGGAUCCAAACCCCUACCACCACCACCACCACCACCACCACCAUCUUCUUCUUCUUCCUCGCCUCCACGCAAGAAAACCAGGGACUUGCCCACCCUCUCUGAAUGCCACGCCUGCAAAUUCCGGAUCGACAUCGCCGACGGCAAGAGCAAGCUCCACACCCUCUACAGCGAGUGGCGCAUCGUCCUCCUCUGCAAGAAAUGCUUUGCCGGCGUCGAGUCCUCCGAGAUUUGCUCCUACUGUUUCGGCUCUGUUUCCGAGGAGGAUCGUUGUGUCACUUGCUCUGAAUGCAAUCGCCGAGUCCACCGAGAUUGCUUCUCCGAGUACAAAACCUUCGCGUCUCGGUCCCGUUCCUCCUGUUUGGAUUCCGAGAAACUCUCUGUCUGUAUGGAUUGCUGGAUUCCCAGGCCCUUGGCGAGCUGGAGAGGUGUGGUUCUGAGCGAUAGGAACGGGAAGAGGAAGAGAAGAAAUGGUGGUUCGGAAUCUGGGAUUCGGCUCUCCGACAAUGGGGUAUUAGAAGAUGUGGUAAAGGAUGCAAAUUCCAUGGUGGAGAAGAAGAGUGAGGCAGCGGCGGAAGCCCGAGAGAGAGCGGCGACGAAAGCUGCUGUGGCAAAGAAGGCCAUUGAAUUUGCCACCAAUGCAUUGGGUUUUGUUGCCAAGAUAAAUGAGAGGGAAGGUUCAGUUGAUGAUUCCCAAUUGGCUUUCGAAUUGCACAAAGCCAUUAAUGGCUCUUCGAGGAGGAUUUCGAAGAAUUUGUGCUCUGUGAAUUUGGCUUGCUUGGCUGCUCCAAAGGGUUGUUGGGAAUUUGAUGGUGGUGGUGGUGGUGGUGAUGAUCAGUUUAUCAGUGCUUCUUGCUCUGCCAAUGGAAGUGUUUGUGGGAGACCUGAUUCUUGCAGUUAUGGUGAGACAUUCGAGGAGAACCGGGAUAAGAAUGUUUCUGAGGCUUUGGAUUUGUCAUUGAAGGAAGGAGAAGGGAGUUGCUCGAUGAAGACGAUCAACUUCGGUGGAGAUGAUAAUGGUAGUAUGGACUUUGAGUCUCUUUCUUUUUGUAAAGAAGAAGAAGAAUCUAUUGAACAGAACAGUAAAAGAUGUGAUGCAAAGAAGCCUGAUUGCAAUUUGUUUAAGUACUAUCAGAGGAGAAGGAAGAAAAAUGAUCGUUACUUUUUGAAGUAUAGAAGGAAGAAAUCGGAUCGUUAUUUUUUUAAGUAUAGUAAGAGGAAAACCAGAUUGAAAGCAAUUCCUCCUCAAGCUUCUGCUUGAGCUAGUUGUUUGUCCCGAGACCGAGAACUGAAGGAAACAGGUUGACUGGCAAGCUUCUUGCAGGAUCCUUCAUGGUUGCAACUUUUAAAUGGAGCGCCCCUUGCCGUAAAUUAACCGGAAACUAGAAACAAACAAGUGCUAUAACCUAUAAGAUAACUUUAGCCUUUGCUUGGUUAUGUAAUCCUGGUUGCUUGUGGUUGCUCCUUCAGCACCACAUUAAGAUUUUAGGAUGUCAAGCCGAAUUAAAGUUCGAAUAUUUUGUAAAUGAGCCGGGGUCAGCUUGAGCAAGGAAUUUUCAAAUUUUGUGAGAAAUUUUAUUGCUGAUAAUUAUAGUUCUAUCAAUAUUUGGGGGGAAAAAAAAAAUAGUACUUCAUUUGUAUGUAUACUUAUGCUUAAAUACUCGUAUGUAAAUAUAUGUAUAUAUAUAUAUAUAUAUGUAUAGAGGAAUAUUUUAUGGUGCGGACUGCACUAAAAGCCGAUAAUUUUUUGAAAAGAGCAUCGGCUUUAUUGUAUAUGUAGAUGGUCCGCACUAU